This 206-nucleotide ribosomal RNA is filed under the name uncultured bacterium. RNAcentral's name for it is "partial 16S ribosomal RNA". It matches the Rfam family "Bacterial small subunit ribosomal RNA", at positions 128 to 334 of the family's 1533-position model. The record is from RNAcentral.
GCCUCAUACACAUGGAUAACAUACCGAAAGGUAUGCUAAUACAAGAUGAUAUAAGAGAUUCGCAUGGAUUUCUUAUCAAAGCUUUUGCGGUAUGAGAUGGACCCGCGUCUGAUUAGCUAGUUGGUAAGGUAAUGGCUUACCAAGGCGACGAUCAGUAGCCGACCUGAGAGGGUGAUCGGCCACAUUGGAACUGAGACACGGUCCAA